RNAcentral lists this ribosomal RNA (708 nucleotides) under uncultured bacterium. RNAcentral describes it as "bacterial SSU rRNA". It matches the Rfam family "Bacterial small subunit ribosomal RNA", at positions 136 to 847 of the family's 1533-position model. The record is from RNAcentral.
CUGGGGGAUAGCCUUCCGAAAGGGAGAUUAAUACCGCAUAACAUAAUUGAGUGGCAUCACUUGAUUAUCAAACGUCAGGGUUGAAGAUGGGCAUGCGUCCGAUUAGUUAGUUGGUGAGGUAACGGCUCACCAAGGCUACGAUCGGUAGGGGAUCUGAGAGGAUGGCCCCCCACACUGGUACUGAGACACGGACCAGACUCCUACGGGAGGCAGCAGUAAGGAAUAUUGGUCAAUGGACGGAAGUCUGAACCAGCCAUGCCGCGUGCAGGAAGACGGUCCUCUGGAUUGUAAACUGCUUUUGUUAGGGAAGAAACUUCCGUACGUGUACGGGACUGACGGUACCUAAAGAAUAAGGAUCGGCUAACUCCGUGCCAGCAGCCGCGGUAAUACGGAGGAUCCAAGCGUUAUCCGGAUUUAUUGGGUUUAAAGGGUGCGUAGGCGGCGUUGUAAGUCAGUGGUGAAAGUUUGCAGCUUAACUGUAAAAUUGCCAUUGAUACUGCAGUGCUUGAGUACAGAUGAGGUGGGCGGAAUGUGUCAUGUAGCGGUGAAAUGCAUAGAUAUGACACAGAACACCGAUUGCGAAGGCAGCUCACUAAACUGUAACUGACGCUGAGGCACGAAAGCGUGGGGAUCAAACAGGAUUAGAUACCCUGGUAGUCCACGCCCUAAACGAUGAUUACUCGAUGUUAGCGAUACACAGUUAGCGUC